GCCAAAUGUGCGGAAUAGCUCAUGCAAGUCAGGCUCCCUUGUGUCCUCUGAUAGGUUGGUGACCCGAACUGAAUUCUCUUCAUUCCUGCGCCUCAUAUCUGAUCCAACUCUCUCUGCACCAGGUCUCAUGCCUGGAGGCACAUAAGCGGCUUUGCCAGUGCCUGUAGUAGCCACAGUGGUCUCGGCAGCGGGAGGUUUGUCAACGAAGGCAUCAGUUUGUGCUGCGAGAUCCUUGUAUGGGCAUCUAGAUGUCCAAUGGUCACCUUUCUUACCACAAGUUCUGCACACCAUGAGA
Molecule: long non-coding RNA, 295 nt
Filed under: Vitis vinifera (wine grape)
Lineage: Eukaryota; Viridiplantae; Streptophyta; Magnoliopsida; Vitales; Vitaceae
Description: long non-coding RNA (VVIN_LNC004040)
Source: RNAcentral